This 497-nucleotide ribosomal RNA is filed under the name uncultured bacterium. RNAcentral describes it as "partial 16S ribosomal RNA". It matches the Rfam family "Bacterial small subunit ribosomal RNA", at positions 28 to 507 of the family's 1533-position model. The record is from RNAcentral.
GAUGAACGCUGGCGGCGUGCCUAAUACAUGCAAGUCGAGCGAACAGACGAGGAGCUUGCUCCUCUGACGUUAGCGGCGGACGGGUGAGUAACACGUGGAUAACCUACCUAUAAGACUGGGAUAACUUCGGGAAACCGGAGCUAAUACCGGAUAAUAUAUUGAACCGCAUGGUUCAAUAGUGAAAGACGGUUUUGCCGUCACUUAUAGAUGGAUCCGCACCGCAUUAGCUAGUUGGUAAGGUAACGGCUUACCAAGGCAACGAUGCGUAGCCGACCUGAGAGGGUGAUCGGCCACACUGGAACUGAGACACGGUCCAGACUCCUACGGGAGGCAGCAGUAGGGAAUCUUCCGCAAUGGGCGAAAGCCUGACGGAGCAACGCCGCGUGAGUGAUGAAGGUCUUCGGAUCGUAAAACUCUGUUAUUAGGGAAGAACAAAUGUGUAAGUAACUAUGCACGUCUUGACGGUACCUAAUCAGAAAGCCACGGCUAACUACGUG